AGCGAACGCUGGCGGCAGGCUUAACACAUGCAAGUCGAACGCCCCGCAAGGGGAGUGGCAGACGGGUGAGUAACACGUGGGAACGUACCCUUUGGUUCGGAAUAACUUGGGGAAACUCAAGCUAAUACCGGAUAAGCCCUUAUGGGGAAAGGUUUACUGCCGAAGGAUCGGCCCGCGUCUGAUUAGCUAGUUGGUGAGGUAAUGGCUCACCAAGGCGACGAUCAGUAGCUGGUCUGAGAGGAUGAUCAGCCACACGGGGACUGAGACACGGCCCAGACUCCUACGGGAGGCAGCAGUGGGGAAUAUUGGACAAUGGGGGCAACCCUGAUCCAGCAAUGCCGCGUGAAUGAUGAAGGCCUUAGGGUUGUAAAGUUCUUUUAUUGAUGACGAUAAUGACGGUAGUCAAUGAAUAAGCACCGGCUAACUUCGUGCCAGCAGCCGCCGUAA
Molecule: ribosomal RNA, 447 nt
Filed under: uncultured bacterium
Lineage: Bacteria
Description: partial 16S ribosomal RNA
Rfam family: Bacterial small subunit ribosomal RNA
Source: RNAcentral